UACGUAGGGUGCGAGCGUUAAUCGGAAUUACUGGGCGUAAAGGGUGCGCAGGCGGUUAUUUAAGUCAGCUGUGAAAUCCCCGGGCUUAACCUGGGAAUGGCAGUUGAGACUGGAUAGCUGGAGUGUGUCAGAGGGGGGUCGAAUUCCACGUGUAGCAGUGAAAUGCGUAGAGAUGUGGAGGAACACCGAUGGCGAAGGCAGCCCCCUGGGAUAACACUGACGCUGAGGCACGAAAGCGUGGGGAGCAAACAGG
RNAcentral lists this ribosomal RNA (253 nucleotides) under uncultured bacterium. RNAcentral's name for it is "partial 16S ribosomal RNA". It matches the Rfam family "Bacterial small subunit ribosomal RNA", at positions 524 to 776 of the family's 1533-position model. The record is from RNAcentral.